This 274-nucleotide ribosomal RNA is filed under the name uncultured bacterium. RNAcentral's name for it is "partial 16S ribosomal RNA". It matches the Rfam family "Bacterial small subunit ribosomal RNA", at positions 523 to 796 of the family's 1533-position model. The record is from RNAcentral.
AUACGGAGGGUGCAAGCGUUACUCGGAAUCACUGGGCGUAAAGCGCGCGCAGGCGGCUAUUUAAGUUGGAUGUGAAAGCCUACGGCUCAACCGUAGAACUGCAUCCAAAACUAUUUAGCUAGAGUGUGGGAGAGGAAGAUGGAAUUAGUUGUGUAGGGGUAAAAUCCGUAGAGAUAACUAGGAAUACCAAAAGCGAAGGCAAUUUUCUGGAACACUACUGACGCUGAGGCGCGAAAGCGUGGGGAGCAAACAGGAUUAGAAACCCUAGUAGUCC